GGUACCUUAACUAUGCCUUCAGAAUGCUCUUCCAUUGCUCUCAGACUGGCAGCCUCUGAAUGUUGUGGUAUGUGAUAGGACCAGUGGACUCAAUGGUCUGUGCUCAUAGCUCCUUUGCUAUAAAGAGGAGUCUUUGGUCUCUUAAUGUUAUGUAAGAUAUAAAGUGAACCAGAAACAUUGUUAGGUCUCAGAUAGGUACUGGUUAUUGCCUUGUGGUGAGGAAAGGCAAAUCCAUGCCUGUAAUAUGUGUUGAUUCUAGUCAGUGUGAAUCACUGUCCCUUUGAAUGUGGAAAGGGUCCAGUGUAACAAGUUUACACUGUCUGGUUGAUCUCUUGAGCGAAUAUGCCAUAUUUGGGGCUUGGCCUUGGUCUCUGUUACUGGGAGAUUGGAUAAUCUGUUGUAGCAGUUGGCUAAGUCAACUUUGGUGAGAGGGAGCCCAUACUCUUGGGCCCAUAUAUAGCCUCUGUUCUGCCACCAUGGCUACCUUGUUCAUUAUGCCAGCACUAAAGUGGUCAAUGGCAGAAGUUGGAUGAUGUCAGCUGGUUAGUAUUCUGUAUACAUGGUUGUUUUUUGCCUCUUUCAUGAGAUUUUCUCUGAUGGAUAUUAACAUAUGAUACAGGGAUCCUCCUACUUUUGUCCACUUCCACAGAGCUAUGCUCAUGACCUGUUGCCAGGAAAACCAGUGAAGAGACUUUGUAAUCUUUUAGGUGAAAUGAAAGAGGCCCUGAGCCAGCAGAGUGGCAGUGAGAAUAUAAAUAAAUAUAUCUGAGCAGUUUCUCAGGUUUGGCUUGUGACAUUUGGGAGACUCCAAAGUUUUCAAUCUGAUUGAUUGGGAAAAUCAGCAGUUCAUUUUGAGGCAAGGGAUUUAGGAAAAAGUUGGUCUGUAUAUGGGACAGAUACAUUUUGUUUUAGAAACCCUGAUGUGGAACUCAAGAAGGAGGUUAGAAUUAGAGAAAAACACAGAGCCAUGUCACAACCCAGAAUUGCAGGGGAAAUUUUAUUUGCUAUCACUACUCUAAUUCACCUUCUAGAAUCCUCAAUUUGCUGGUUAUUGUGGGAUUGGGAAUGCAAGGGAAAAAACAAAUACCAGCAGCAGAAAAUACAAGGAAAUUGGUCAAUCAGGUUUAAAACUUAAGCUCAUAUAAGAAUUUAAACAUUUCUUUUCAGUCAGUAGUGUUUAGUGUCUUAGUAUUAACUGAUGAGAGUCUCAGCUUCUCUAAGAUGGCAUCUGAGUUUGUGGUGGAGGGCCGGCUUCUGUGAUUUUAUGGCUUGAAAAAGGCAGGGCUCUCAGAUUCCCAUAUUGUCUCAAGGUUCCUCUGGUCACUCUGGUGAUGUCCUUUGUUGGUGGUUACUCUCCCUGCCAGCGUUUGGACUCCUCUCCUGCAAUUUUGUCAGAAACUAGUGAUGUUUCCUGACUGACAAGGCCUCUGCUGUUAGAGACCCCUCUGAAAUCUGGCUGUGAGUUGGAGUCAUUUCAGCUCAGGUUGGCCCACUAUGAGCCAUGAUCCUUAGCUGGCAAUCUCCCUAGCUAGAUACUCUGGGACUAACCUGUGCCAACUUGGGAAGGCUAAGCUCAGAUCCUUUAUCUGACAAGGCUCAAUUACAAAUUUUUUGCCACUGUAUUUUGAUAACUUUCUCAUUUAUUUACCUUUUAAUUAGUUUAGUAUUGGUCAUUGCCCACCCUUCCCCUCUAAUAUACAUGUACACUAGAAUAUCAACUCAUGAUAAUGGUAUCUUGUCAGUCCUGUUGAUUGCUGAAUCACAAGCUACAGGGAAAGCACCUGUCACAUGGUUGGCCCUUAAUAGAGUUUUUGUAAGUCAAUAAAGGGCAGAAAUAAUAGAAGAAAUCCUCAAAGAGAAGUAUGUCAAGUACGAACAAGAUGAAGAUUAAACUGUUGAGUACAUCUUCUACCUUCUAUUUUAGAGGUAGACAUUAUAAGAGGUUCCAGGGAAGGAGACUGAGAAGAACUGAUCAAAAGAAGUGUGAAGAUGAAGUGCAGGAGAUUGGGAGAAGCAUGUAUGUUUAUAAGUAGUAUAAAGAGAUGAGUCUGAGAAAACUCAGAUCUCAGGGAAUUAUGCCAUGAAAGGGAAAAUAGAAUUGUGGCACUAGGUAAAAUCUUUUAUGAAGGUUGAUGGUAAAGGUAAGGAGUUAGGGCAUAUCACUGGGCUCUUCAGGAACAGGACUCAUGAAGGACUCUUUUCUUCCCAAGACAGAAGAAAGUUGGUGCUUUGAUAUGUGGGGAGGAACUGGUGGAGGGAAAGAGGGGGAAGACUGAAAACAGAGAUGGUUUAUGAAUUAAGGUCUCAGAACUUAACUGGGAAAGGAUGAGAUCAACCUUAGAAUGGAAGACAGGAAGAAUGAAUGGAAAAUAGACGAUCUGAGGCAAAUGGGAAGUACAUAUUUUGCUUAGUAAAAUAGGUGUCCCGGUUAUCUGCCAAGAGUGUAUGUACACAAGUCCUCCACCUCCCACACUUCUUUUCUACUUUCUUUGACCUUUUCUUGGCAAAAGAUAAGCAACCAUGCUUCUUGGAAGAACAAGAGCUCUUUAGUUCUUGUUCAGACUUGGAUAAGAGACUUAGUUGCACAGAAUUGCAACUAGAGUUGCACAGAAUUGAUAUGAGGGUCUCAAUAGAUCUCAGACUCAACUCUGUUUAUGAUCCCGAGUUAUGUAACUAAUAUGAGUAAUUCAAAUAAUGCAAGUUUCGGAUUCUUUUCUACCUUAGACAUUCUGACUCAUUAUCAAAUAAAUAAAAUUUAUUUACUCUGAAUGUUUCCUUUUAGUUGGUCUUCUUAACUGAUGUGAGAGUCCAUCAAUACCUUGUUUUAGUUAUCCUAUGAAAAUGAAGAGUUUAUGGAUUAUAUGCUGAUGGGAAAAUUACCUGCUGAAGUAAAUAACUUCAUACUUGUUUUUUAUUCUACUGAUUUCAUGUAUAUGAAUUAAAAAAUUUUUUUUGGACAUUGUAAAAGCACAUAUGAAGUACAUAAUGUGCAUAUCUGGUGUUAAAAUACUUUUUAAAAUUACUUGAAUUAAUAAAGUUUAUAUGGAGUGAUAUUUGCUUUGCCCAUGUUUUUUUGACUGUUGUUCAUCUAUUCAUUUACCAUUUCCUUACUGGCUAAAUGCGUAGGUUCUGUUCUAGGUGGUGAGAAUAUAAAUGCACGAAAGAUUCAGUCCCUGAAUUUGAAGGAGUUUAUGGUCUGGUUAUAGAAGACAUACUGUAAUAACAUAAACACAAUAAUAUAUUGUAUGUGCUAAGAAAGAAAUAUGUACAGGAUGGAGUAGGGCCCAAAGGAGUGAGUGGUCAGUUUCUGCCUCAGAAGAAUGGGAACCUGUUGUCAAGAAAGGUUUUACUGAUGAAAUGUGCCUGAAUCUUGAAAGGUAAGAGUAUUUUUGUUAAGUUUGCCUUUAGAUGAUGUGAAGUCUUUGAGGACAAAGAAUCUCAUCUUAUACACGUUUGUGUUCUGGACCAAAGGAAGAAUUUGCCAGUAAAUGAAUUGUUUCCAAACAGUUCCAAAUUUACUAUUAUAAAGGUAUUUCUUUAAAAUACCAGUAGGUGGCAGUAUUACUCCAUAUAAAAAGACUGAUGACCAAACAGUGGAAGUGAUUUUCCUGAAUUUCCAAACCUGGUAAUGAGGGUGUUCUGGGUUAAAAAUGGAUGAGAAAAAGUGAGUUUGAAAAUUUUUCUUGGCAGACCAGUUUUUCCUUGAAUAAACCAAUGUCUGAACCCCUUCACACCCUCUUUCCACUCACCCUGAACUCCAGAGAUCUGCAUAAAAUUGACUUGGACACUUCUCAUUCAAGGCCUGUGGAAGUCUGAAGCCCUUUUAAAGAUUUCUACAAUACCUUGACCCAGAAACAAAACUGAGCUCCCUGCUUGAUGUACACUAAAAGCCCAUUCACAUGAAAUAUUCGUAAGUUUAAGAUCUUUUAGUGAAGAUUUGGGGAAAGGAUAACAGCAGAGUUUUACACAGCAGCAGUACAGACAAGUGCAAAUGAAUCAGGCAGCUUCCCAGGUCACAGAAUGUUCUUUGGCCUCCCACCAUCAUGGAGUUUGACCUAAUUCUUUUAUUGUAUUUUUAUUUUUUGUCUUUUUAGGGCUGCACCAGUGGCAUAUGGAGGUUCCCAGGCUAGGGGUCGAAUUGGAGCUGUAGCCGUCAGCCUACGCCAGAGCCAUAGCAACAUGGGAUCUGAGAUGUGUCUGCAACCUACACCACAGCUCAAAGCAACGCUGGAUCCUUAACCCACUGAGUGAGGCCAGGGAUCGAACCCACAUCCUCAUGGAUGCAAGUUGGGUUCGUUAGCCACUGAGCCAUGACAGGAACUCCCUGAUCAUGGUUUUUAGCUGGUGGUUGCAGGUUUUUCUUUCGCAGGGUGAUGUUAAGUGAUGUGAGCUCGAUAGGGUUCUCUGCUUCUCUCUCCAUCUUCCAUGUGCCUAGAAAAUAGACCCUGUUUUCUUUCAUGAUCUAUCAUAAUUUUAUUAUUUUUGGGUUUUUUUUUGAAGUACUUUAUUUAUGCAAAUCAGUAUGGUCCCAGGAUUAGGGUGGAAAUUGUGAUUGGUCUGCUAUAGGGAACCAUUCUACCCCCUAUGAAAAUGUUCAAUAUAAAGAAUAUUUGAAAGAGGAGUUCCCGUCGUGGUGCAGUGGAAACGAAUUCGACUGGGAACCAUGAGGUUGCUGGUUCAAUCCCUGCCCUUGCUCAGUGGGUUAAGGGUCUGGCAUUGCUAUGAGCUGUGGUGUAGGUCACAGACACAGCUGGGAUAUGGUGUUGCUGUGGCUCUGGUGUAGGCCAGCAGCCGAGGCUCUGAUUCGACUCCUAGCCUGGGAACUUCCAUGUGCCAUGGGUUUGGUCCCCCCCCCAAAAGGACAUUUGAAAGAAUCGUUGAAUCUAUCACCUAGAGUCUAUGAUUGUUAACAUUUGGUUUUAUUUGCCUUUCAUUAAUCUAAUUUUUUGUUGUAUUUCAAACUAAGUUGCAGGCAAAAGUACAUUUCACUCCUAGACAUUUUAGCAUGCAUAUAAUUAACUAGAGAGUAGUUUUUACUUUCAGUUCUUUUUUUGUUUUUGAGGUAAAAUUUAUGUAAUAGUGGUAUUCAGUUAUUAAGUAUACUUUAGAUAAGUCUUGACUAAUGCAAAAACCAGGGUUAUCUAAACUCCUAUCAAGACAAGAGAAAAUUUCCAUAAAGCUUUCGUUUGUACUGAUAUUUACUUUACCAUUAAAAUUUUUUCUCAAUGGAGACCAUUCCUUCUCCCAUUCUCCCAUGCAGCUUACAGGGCACAGAGGAAGUAUCUGCAUGUUUCUUAUUCCCCGCUGUCUCUAAUCAGGUAUUGACCCAGUAUCAAUUCUUGGCAACUGAACUGGGAACUCUGUACCAAUCACUUAUACUAUCCUAUUUCCACCACUAACUAUCAUCUGGCAAGACAGUCUCCUCUGUUUUCUACUACCAUGAUGAUUCAGAGUCUUCUGCUCCAUCCUCAGGCACAGAAUUGCUCAGCCAUUACAAUUCUGAACUGAAAAAUUAAUGAAUUAAGUCAUUCUUGGCUGCAUUGGUGGCGUUUGGAAAUUUCUAUGCCAGGGAUCAAAUACGAGGUGCAGCUGUGACCUACACUGCAUCUGUGCAAGGCUGGAUCCUUCAAACCCUCUGCACUAAGCUGGGGAUUGAACCUGCACUACUGCAGAGACAAUGCUGGAUCCUUAACU
This 5694-nucleotide long non-coding RNA is filed under the name Sus scrofa (pig). RNAcentral's name for it is "lncRNA (ENSSSCG00030017486.1)". Lineage: Eukaryota; Metazoa; Chordata; Mammalia; Artiodactyla; Suidae. The record is from RNAcentral.